RNAcentral lists this ribosomal RNA (1375 nucleotides) under uncultured bacterium. RNAcentral describes it as "bacterial SSU rRNA". It matches the Rfam family "Bacterial small subunit ribosomal RNA", at positions 29 to 1394 of the family's 1533-position model. The record is from RNAcentral.
UUGAACGCUGGCGGUAUGCUUAACACAUGCAAGUCGAACGGAAACGAUACUAGCUUGCUAGUAGGCGUCGAGUGGCGGACGGGUGAGUAACGCGUAGGAAUCUGCCUGAUAGUGGGGGAUAGCCCGAAGAAAUUCGGAUUAAUACCGCAUAAUCUAUUCGUAGUAAAGUGGGGGACUUUCGAGCCUCACGCUAUCAGAUGAGCCUGCGUAAGAUUAGCUUGUUGGUAGGGUAAAAGCCUACCAAGGCGACGAUCUUUAGCUGGUCUGAGAGGAUGAUCAGCCACAUCGGGACUGAGACACGGCCCGAACUCCUACGGGAGGCAGCAGUGGGGAAUAUUGGACAAUGGGGGCAACCCUGAUCCAGCAAUACCGCGUGUGUGAAGAAGGCCUGAGGGUUGUAAAGCACUUUCAAUUGUGAAGAAAAGUUAGCGGUUAAUAACCGUUAGCCUUGACGUUAACUUUAGAAGAAGCACCGGCUAACUCCGUGCCAGCAGCCGCGGUAAUACGGAGGGUGCAAGCGUUAAUCGGAAUUACUGGGCGUAAAGCGUGCGUAGGCGGUUUAUUAAGUCAGAUGUGAAAGCCCCGGGCUUAACCUGGGAACUGCAUUUGAAACUGGUCAACUAGAGUAUGGUAGAGGAAAGUGGAAUUUCUGGUGUAGCGGUGAAAUGCGUAGAUAUCAGAAGGGAACAUCAAUGGCGAAGGCAGCUUUCUGGACCAAUACUGACGCUGAGGUACGAAAGCGUGGGUAGCAAACAGGAUUAGAUACCCUGGUAGUCCACGCCGUAAACGAUGAUAACUAGCCGUUGGGGGGAUUUACCCUUUAGUGGCGAAGCUAACGCGUUAAGUUAUCCGCCUGGGGAGUACGGCCGCAAGGUUAAAACUCAAAGGAAUUGACGGGGACCCGCACAAGCGGUGGAGCAUGUGGUUUAAUUCGAUGCAACGCGAAGAACCUUACCUGGUCUUGACAUCCUGCGAACUUUCUAGAAAUAGAUUGGUGCCUUCGGGAACGCAGUGACAGGUGCUGCAUGGCUGUCGUCAGCUCGUGUCGUGAGAUGUUGGGUUAAGUCCCGUAACGAGCGCAACCCCUAUCCUUAUUUGCCAGCACAUCAUGGUGGGAACUAUAAGGAGACUGCCGGUGAUAAACCGGAGGAAGGCGGGGACGACGUCAAGUCAUCAUGGCCCUUACGACCAGGGCUACACACGUGCUACAAUGGGAAGGACAAAGAGCCGCGAAGCCGCGAGGUGUAGCUAAUCUCAUAAACCUUUUCGUAGUCCGGAUUGGAGUCUGCAACUCGACUCCAUGAAGUCGGAAUCGCUAGUAAUCGUAGAUCAGAAUGCUACGGUGAAUACGUUCCCGGGUCUUGUACACACCGCC